RNAcentral lists this ribosomal RNA (429 nucleotides) under uncultured bacterium. Its description in RNAcentral is "bacterial SSU rRNA". It matches the Rfam family "Bacterial small subunit ribosomal RNA", at positions 355 to 776 of the family's 1533-position model. The record is from RNAcentral.
UCGGGAAUAUUGCGCAAUGGGCGAAAGCCUGACGCAGCCAUGCCGCGUGUGUGAAGAAGGCCCUAGGGUUGUAAAGCACUUUCAAUUGGGAGGAAAAGCUAAUACUUAAUACGUAUUAGCCCUGACGUUACCUUUAGAAGAAGCACCGGCUAACUCCGUGCCAGCAGCCGCGGUAAUACGGAGGGUGCAAGCGUUAAUCGGAAUUACUGGGCGUAAAGCGCGCGUAGGCGGUUUUUUAAGUCGGAUGUGAAAGCCCCGGGCUCAACCUGGGAACUGCAUCCGAUACUGGAUGACUAGAAUGCGGGAGAGGGAGGUAGAAUUCCAUGUGUAGCAGUGAAAUGCGUAGAUAUAUGGAGGAAUACCAGUGGCGAAGGCGGCCUCCUGGCUCGACAUUGACGCUGAGGUGCGAAAGCCAGGGGAGCGAAAGGG